AGCAGCCGCGGUAAUUCCAGCUCCAAUAGCGUAUAUUAAAGUUGUUGCAGUUAAAAAAGCUCGUAGUUGAAUUUCGGGGUUAAUAAGUUGGUCGUACCUAUGGUAUGUACUGGCUUUAUUGAUUCCUACCUCUUGACGAACUGUGAUGCCAUUAAUUUGGUGUUGCAAGGAAUCAGGACUGUUACCUUGAAAAAUUAGAGUGUUUAAAGCAGGCUUACGCUUGAAUACAUUAGCAUGGAAUAAUGAAAUAGGACGUUUGAACCUAUUUUGUUGGUUUCUAGGAUCGACGUAAUGAUUAACAGGGAUAGUUGGGGCAUUAGUAUUCAAUUGUCAGAGGUGAAAUUCUUGGA
RNAcentral lists this ribosomal RNA (350 nucleotides) under uncultured Glomus. Its description in RNAcentral is "SSU rRNA". It matches the Rfam family "Eukaryotic small subunit ribosomal RNA", at positions 569 to 924 of the family's 1831-position model. The record is from RNAcentral. Lineage: Eukaryota; Fungi; Glomeromycota; Glomeromycetes; Glomerales; Glomeraceae.